CCUACGGGAUGCAGCAGUGGGGAAUAUUGCACAAUGGGGGAAACUCUGAUGCAGCAACGCCGCGUGGAGGAUGACGCAUUUCGGUGUGUAAACUCCUUUUAUAUAGGAAGAUAAUGACGGUACUAUAUGAAUAAGCACCGGCUAACUCCGUGCCAGCAGCCGCGGUAAUACGGAGGGUGCAAGCGUUACUCGGAAUCACUGGGCGUAAAGCGCGCGCAGGCGGUUUGAUAAGUUGGAUGUGAAAGCCUACGGCUCAACCGUAGAACCGCAUCCAAAACUGUCAAACUAGAGUGUGGGAGAGGAAGAUGGAAUUAGUUGUGUAGGGGUAAAAUCCGUAGAGAUAACUAGGAAUACCAAAAGCGAAGGCAAUCUUCUGGGACAUUACUGACGCUGAGGCGCGACAGCGUGGGGAGCAAACAGGAUUAGAUACCCGUGUAGUC
Molecule: ribosomal RNA, 440 nt
Filed under: uncultured bacterium
Lineage: Bacteria
Description: bacterial SSU rRNA
Rfam family: Bacterial small subunit ribosomal RNA
Source: RNAcentral